RNAcentral lists this ribosomal RNA (496 nucleotides) under uncultured bacterium. RNAcentral's name for it is "partial 16S ribosomal RNA". It matches the Rfam family "Bacterial small subunit ribosomal RNA", at positions 29 to 507 of the family's 1533-position model. The record is from RNAcentral.
AUGCACGCUGGCGGCGUGCCUAAUACAUGCCAGUCGAGCGAACAGACGAGGAGCUUGCUCCUCUGACGUUAGCGGCGGCCGGGUGAGUAACACGUGGAUAACCUACCUAUAAGACUGGGAUAACUUCGGGAAACCGGAGCUAAUACCGGAUAAUAUAUUGAACCGCAUGGUUCAAUAGUGAAAGACGGUUUUGCUGUCACUUAUAGAUGGAUCCGCGCCGCAUUAGCUAGUUGGUAAGGUAACGGCUUACCAAGGCAACGAUGCGUAGCCGACCUGAGAGGGUGAUCGGCCACACUGGAACUGAGACACGGUCCAGACUCCUACGGGAGGCAGCAGUAGGGAAUCUUCCGCAAAGGGCGAAAGCCUGACGGAGCAACGCCGCGUGAGUGAUGAAGGUCUUCGGAUCGUAAAACUCUGUUAUUAGGGAAGAACAAAUGUGUAAGUAACUAUGCACGUCUUGACGGUACCUAAUCAGAAAGCCACGGCUAACUACGUG